GACGAACGCGUGGCGCAUGCCUAAUACAUGCAAGUCGAACGCGUUUAAUUUCGACCGGGUAGCUUGCACCCAUCGAAGUUAAGGAGUGGCGGACGGGUGAGUAACACGUGGGUAACCUGCCCAUAAGAGGGGGAUAACAUUCGGAAACGGAUGCUAAUACCGCAUAUUUCCAAUCGUCUCCUGACGAAUGGAAGAAAGGUGGCUUCGGCUACCGCUUAUGGAUGGACCCGCGGCGUAUUAGCUAGUUGGUGAGGUAAUGGCUCACCAAGGCAAUGAUACGUAGCCGACCUGGGAGGGUGAUCGGCCACACUGGGACUGAGACACGGCCCAG
This 331-nucleotide ribosomal RNA is filed under the name uncultured bacterium. RNAcentral describes it as "bacterial SSU rRNA". It matches the Rfam family "Bacterial small subunit ribosomal RNA", at positions 28 to 334 of the family's 1533-position model. The record is from RNAcentral.